UCUACGGGUGGCAGCAGUGAGGAAUAUUCGUCAAUGGGCGCGAGCCUGAACCAGCCAAGUAGCGUGAAGGAUGACUGCCCUACGGGUGGUAAACUUCUUUUAUAAAGGAAUAAAGUGAGGCACGUGUGCCUUUUUGUAUGUACUUUAUGAAUAAGGAUCGGCUAACGCCGUGCCAGCAGCCGCGGCAAUGCGGAGGAUCCGAGCGUUAGCCGGAUUUAGUGGGUUUAAAGGGAGCGUAGAUGGGUGGUUAAGGCAGUUGUGAAAGUUUGCGGCUCAAGCGUAAAAUUGCAAUUGAUACUGGCAGUCUUGAGUACAGUUGAGGUAGGCGGAAUUCGUGGUGUAGCGGUGAAAUGCUUAGAUAUAACGAAGAACUCCGAUUGCGAAGGCAGCUUACUAAACUGCCACUGACAUUGAUGCUCGAAAGUGUGGGUAUCAAACAGGAUUAGAUACCCUUGUAGUC
Molecule: ribosomal RNA, 460 nt
Filed under: uncultured bacterium
Lineage: Bacteria
Description: partial 16S ribosomal RNA
Rfam family: Bacterial small subunit ribosomal RNA
Source: RNAcentral